This 496-nucleotide ribosomal RNA is filed under the name uncultured bacterium. RNAcentral describes it as "partial 16S ribosomal RNA". It matches the Rfam family "Bacterial small subunit ribosomal RNA", at positions 28 to 506 of the family's 1533-position model. The record is from RNAcentral.
GAUGAACGCUGGCGGCGUGCCUAAUACAUGCAAGUCGAGCGAACAGACGAGGAGCUUGCUCCUCUGACGUUAGCGGCGGACGGGUGAGUAACACGUGGAUAACCUACCUAUAAGACUGGGAUAACUUCGGGAAACCGGAGCUAAUACCGGAUAAUAUAUUGAACCGCAUGGUUCAAUAGUGAAAGACGGUUUUGCUGUCACUUAUAGAUGGAUCCGCGCCGCAUUAGCUAGUUGGUAAGGUAACGGCUUACCAAGGCGACGAUGCGUAGCCGACCUGAGAGGGUGAUCGGCCACACUGGAACUGAGACACGGUCCAGACUCCUACGGGAGGCAGCAGUAGGGAAUCUUCCGCAAUGGGCGAAAGCCUGACGGAGCAACGCCGCGUGAGUGAUGAAGGACUUCGGAUCGUAAAACUCUGUUAUUAGGGAAGAACAAAUGUGUAAGUAACUAUGCACGUCUUGACGGUACCUAAUCAGAAAGCCACGGCUAACUACGU